AAGUCGUAACAAGGUUUCCGUAGGUGAACCUGCGGAAGGAUCAUCAAUGAACCUCUAAAUAAUCUAAACACGCUCAUGUGCACUGUUUGGGUCUGUGGUGGUGGUGGGGGGCUUUUUGCUAUCGCCUCGUGCUUUGCGCGGGUCCCCCUCCUCCCCAUUUUCCCCCCCUUUUUUGAAAACCCCUUUUUUAACCCUUUGUUAUCAAUUGACUGAAAACAUUAAAAAAAAACAAAAGACAACUUUUAACAACGGAUCUCUUGGCUCUC
This 266-nucleotide unclassified non-coding RNA is filed under the name fungal sp. RNAcentral's name for it is "partial internal transcribed spacer region". The stretch from base 1 to 46 matches the Rfam family "Eukaryotic small subunit ribosomal RNA", at positions 1786 to 1831 of the family's 1831-position model. Lineage: Eukaryota; Fungi. The record is from RNAcentral.